AGUUGGGAAUCUUUCACAAUGGGCGCAAGCCUGAUGGAGCAACACCGCGUGAGUGAAGAAGGGUUUCGGCUCGUAAAACUCUGUUGUUGGAGAAGAACGUGCGUAAGAGUAACUGUUUACGCAGUGACGGUAUCCAACCAGAAAGUCACGGCUAACUACGUGCCAGCAGCCGCGGUAAUACGUAGGUGGCAAGCGUUAUCCGGAUUUAUUGGGCGUAAAGCGAGCGCAGGCGGUUGCUUAGGUCUGAUGUGAAAGCCUUCGGCUUAACCGAAGAAGUGCAUCGGAAACCGGGCGACUUGAGUGCAGAAGAGGACAGUGGAACUCCAUGUGUAGCGGUGGAAUGCGUAGAUAUAUGGAAGAACACCAGUGGCGAAGGCGGCUGUCUGGUCUGCAACUGACGCUGAGGCUCGAAAGCAUGGGUAGCGAACAGGAUUAGAUACCCUGGUAGUCCAUGCCGUAAACGAUGAGUGCUAGGUGUUGGAGGGUUUCCGCCCUUCAGUGCCGAAGCUAACGCAUUAAGCACUCCGCCUGGAGACACGA
Molecule: ribosomal RNA, 540 nt
Filed under: Limosilactobacillus oris
Lineage: Bacteria; Bacillati; Bacillota; Bacilli; Lactobacillales; Lactobacillaceae
Description: bacterial SSU rRNA
Rfam family: Bacterial small subunit ribosomal RNA
Source: RNAcentral